Transfer RNA from Microdochium bolleyi, 85 nucleotides. It matches the Rfam family "tRNA". Rfam says of the family: Transfer RNA (tRNA) molecules are approximately 80 nucleotides in length. Their secondary structure includes four short double-helical elements and three loops (D, anti-codon, and T loops). Further hydrogen bonds mediate the characteristic L-shaped molecular structure. tRNAs have two regions of fundamental functional importance: the anti-codon, which is responsible for specific mRNA codon recognition, and the 3' end, to which the tRNAs corresponding amino acid is attached (by aminoacyl-tRNA synthetases). tRNAs cope with the degeneracy of the genetic code in two manners: having more than one tRNA (with a specific anti-codon) for a particular amino acid; and 'wobble' base-pairing, i.e. permitting non-standard base-pairing at the 3rd anti-codon position. Lineage: Eukaryota; Fungi; Ascomycota; Sordariomycetes; Xylariales; Microdochiaceae. The record is from Rfam.
GCCCGCUUAGCACAGUGGUAGUGCGCCGCACUUGUACUUCACAUAGUCUAUGCGGAGGUCGGUUGUUCAAUCCAGCCAGUGGGCA